Molecule: long non-coding RNA, 588 nt
Filed under: Nicotiana benthamiana
Lineage: Eukaryota; Viridiplantae; Streptophyta; Magnoliopsida; Solanales; Solanaceae
Description: long non-coding RNA (NBEN_LNC039414)
Source: RNAcentral
AAAACAUAAUAGAAGUACAUUCAGAACCCUAAAAAUAUAAGAACACAAGAGAAAAACUCAUAAAAACACGGCAUAGAUAGAUUUAGACAAAGGAAAGAAGAAGAAGAGACAUAAGUCAUUUUGAGAUUUUCAGAAACCCUAAAUGGAAAACUAACUAAUUUUUAAAAAUAAAAUUGGGGAAAAGGCUUAAAAUGUUGAAGAUAGCACAGAUUCACCUCAGAUCUAGGAAAAUAAAAGGAGAAGGAACCUCGAAUAGCUUUAGGGUUUCUCUGAAACUCUAGAAAUCAGAAGGCUUGGAAAAAUUUCCGGUCUGGAGUCAGAGAUGGCCAUAGCUACCCUCUUAAAGCUUGAUACAUCGGAGCAAGGCCAGAGAGGCCAUAGAACCACAGAUCUGUAGAGGAUCUAAAUGGAAUCCAUCGAGGUCAGGCGUCGAAAUAUCGAACACCCAUGGCCUAGGGGUGAAGGAAGGUGAGUACAGGCCGUCCAUGGCCUGAGAAGCCAUGGACUCCGGUGAGAUAAUGGUCAGAGAAGGGUAGGGGGCUGCUAGGGUUUCGAGUGCUUGAGAGCGUUUUGAGGAGAAGAGGUUUC